RNAcentral lists this ribosomal RNA (626 nucleotides) under uncultured Lachnospiraceae bacterium. RNAcentral's name for it is "bacterial SSU rRNA". It matches the Rfam family "Bacterial small subunit ribosomal RNA", at positions 68 to 708 of the family's 1533-position model. Lineage: Bacteria; Bacillati; Bacillota; Clostridia; Lachnospirales; Lachnospiraceae. The record is from RNAcentral.
GAAGUUUUCGGAUGGAUCUUAGAUUGACUGAGCGGCGGACGGGUGAGUAACGCGUGGAUAACCUGCCUCACACAGGGGGAUAACAGUUAGAAAUGACUGCUAAUACCGCAUAAGCGCACAGUACCGCAUGGUAUAGUGUGAAAAACUCCGGUGGUGUGAGAUGGAUCCGCGUCUGAUUAGGUAGUUGGUGAGGUAACGGCCCACCAAGCCGACGAUCAGUAGCCGACCUGAGAGGGUGACCGGCCACAUUGGGACUGAGACACGGCCCAAACUCCUACGGGAGGCAGCAGUGGGGGAUAUUGCACAAUGGGCGAAAGCCUGAUGCAGCAACGCCGCGUGAGUGAAGAAGUAUCUCGGUAUGUAAAGCUCUAUCAGCAGGGAAGAAAAUGACGGUACCUGACUAAGAAGCCCCGGCUAACUACGUGCCAGCAGCCGCGGUAAUACGUAGGGGGCAAGCGUUAUCCGGAUUUACUGGGUGUAAAGGGAGCGCAGACGGCACUGCAAGUCUGAAGUGAAAGCCCGGGGCUCAACCCCGGGACUGCUUUGGAAACUGUAGAGCUAGAGUGCUGGAGAGGCAAGCGGAAUUCCUAGUGUAGCGGUGAAAUGCGUAGAUAUUAGGAAGAACA